CAGUUAAACAUCUGCUCCUCACUGUCACACCCACAAAGGAUUAAACACAAGGAAAUUCAAAGUACUUUACAUCAUAAACAAGUAUGAGAAUAUUUAAAAAAUAAAAACAUCUUGAGUGUUCAAAACAUUCUUAGGUUUCUAAAUAUGAUUAUUUUGCUUUGUUUUACUUUUUUGACUCUUGAAUUUAUUAUUAUGAUCGUCUCUUUCACAGAAUAAUACUUUUUAAAAACUGCCAGGAUACAAGUACUCCGUUAUUUGGAAACAAAAAAAAAAGCUGAAGAAAUCACAGUAAGUUCUACUAUUAAUAGAAUCACCCAGAUAUUAAUUUGUUCAAUUAUUAAGAAAAGUAGAGUACUUCAUAGAAAUUUGAAUUAUAUCUCAAAUUAGAAGAUAUAAUUAUGGGUUCCUAAAGAGUUCCUAUGGAAUUAUAAAAAAUAAUGCCUGGUAUAUUGGUUAAUCUGUCAGCAAUUCUCAGGAAUCCCCACAUAAAAAUUCUUGUGGUGGUUCAUUUAAACUAGAUGUCAAUGUUUUAAGAUAUGUAGAAUUUAGCAGAAGGAAUUUCGUACAAGAUCAUAUCCUAUUUUGUUGUUUUCUUUUAUAAAUGCUAGCGG
RNAcentral lists this long non-coding RNA (611 nucleotides) under Bos taurus (domestic cattle). Its description in RNAcentral is "long non-coding RNA NONBTAT021776". Lineage: Eukaryota; Metazoa; Chordata; Mammalia; Artiodactyla; Bovidae. The record is from RNAcentral.